GUGAACAACUAAGGGCGCGCGGUGGAUGCCUAGGCUCUCGGAGGCGAUGAAGGACGCGAUAAGCCGCGAUAGGCCACGGCGAGGUGCAAGUAACCCUUGACCCGUGGAUUUCCGAAUGGGGCAACCCGGCCGUCUAGAUGACGGUCAUGCAGUAAUGCAAGCGAACGCGGGGAACUGAAACAUCUCAUUACCCGCAGGAGAAGAAAACAAAAUGUGAUUCCCCCAGUAGUGGCGAGCGAACGGGGAAGAGCCCAAACCGUUGCCGUUUCGGCGACAGCGGGGUCAUGGGACCGCGACAUUCGACGGAAGACGAAGUGCAAUUACCUGGAAAGGUAAGCCGUGGAGGGUGAUAGCCCCGUGCACGACACCUCCAUCUAAGAUAGCGGUAUCCCGAGUAGGGCGGGACACGAGAAAUCCUGCCUGAAUUCGCCAGGACCUCCUGGCAAGGCUAAAUACUCCCGAGAGACCGAUAGUGAACCAGUACCGCGAGGGAAAGGUGAAAAGUACCCCGAGCAGGGGGGUGAAAUAGACCCUGAACCCGCGCGCCUACAAGCGGUCGGAGCCAUGAAAUAUGGUGACGGCGUGCCUUUUGCAUAAUGAGCCUACGAGUUAGUCGUCACCAGCGAGGUUAAGGGCUUCAGGCCCGUUAGCCGAAGUGAAAGCGAGCCUUAACAGGGCGUCGAGUUGGUGGCGCUAGACGCGAAACCUUGUGAUCUACCCACGAGCAGGUUGAAGUCGCGGUAACACGUGAUGGAGGACCGAACCGGUAAACGUUGAAAAGUUUUCGGAUGACUCGCGGGUAGGGGUGAAAGGCCAAUCAAACUGGGAAAUAGCUCGUACUCUCCGAAAUGCAUUUCGGUGCAGCCUGUGAUGUUCUGUUCCAGAGGUAGAGCUACUGGUUGGACGCGAGGGCUUCACCGCCUAUCAAAUCCGGAUAAACUCCGAAUGCUGGAACACGAAAUCAUGGAGUGAGCCCGCGGGUGCUAAGGUCCGCGGACGAGAGGGAAAGAACCCGGACCACCGGCUAAGGUCCCGGAUGGACAGUUAAGUUGAUCAAACGAGGUGGGAUCGCUGAGACAGCUAGGAUGUUGGCUUGGAAGCAGCCAUUCAUUUAAAGAGUGCGUAACAGCUCACUAGUCGAGCGAUCCCGCGUGGAUAAUACACGGGCAUCAAACUGUCAACCGAAGCCGUGGGGUUAGUGAUGAGCUAACCGGUAGGAGAGCAUUCCUGCCAGCUUUGAAGGUCACCCGCGAGAGUGACUGGAGCGGCAUGAAAAGCAAAUGUAGGCAUAAGUAACGAUAAUGGGGGCGAGAACCCCCCACGCCGCAAGACCAAGGAUUCCCCGGCAAUGUCAAUCAGCCGGGGGUCAGCCGGCCUCUAAGGCUCACCCGAGGGGGGAUGCCGACGAGAAACGGGUUAACAUUCCCGUGCUUCUCGUCACCGUGACGCGGUGACGGGGUGAUGAAUGGACCGCGCGCUGACGGAAUAGCGCGUUGAAGGCCGUACCCUAUGACGGUGGUAGUCAAGCACGCCACCGGAGGCGAAAGUCGAUAGUACCUCGAGGCCUCGGCCGAGGGGAUAGCGUCCAGGCAAUUUACCCCCUAGAAAACCCGCUAAACUUCAAGUGACGAGGAACCGUACUGUAAACGGACACACGUGGUCGGGUAGAACAUACCAAGGCGCUCGAGUGAUUCAUGGUCAAGGAACUAGGCAAAAUAGUCCUGUAACUUAGGGAAAAAGGACGCUCUAGUGAUAGAGCCGCAGAGUAAUGGCCCAGGCGACUGUUUACCAAAAACACAUGGCUAUGCCAAAUCGAAAGAUGACGUAUAUGGCCUGACACCUGCCCGGUGCCGGAAGGUUAAGAGGAGAGCUCAUCGGAAACGAGAAGGUUUGAAUUGAAGCCCCGGUAAACGGCGGCCGUAACUAUAACGGUCCUAAGGUAGCGAAAUUCCUUGUCGGGUAAGUUCCGACCUGCACGAAUGGUGUAACGAUCUGGGCACUGUCUCGACCAUGAGCUCGGUGAAAUUGUAGUUCCGGUGAAGAUGCCGGGUACCCGCGACGGGACGGAAAGACCCCGUGAACCUUUACUGCAGCUUCGCGUUGUUCCCGGGCACGGGACGUGUAGGAUAGGUCGGAGGCCAUGAAGCGGUUUCGCCAGGAAUCGUGGAGCCAUCGUUGAAAUACGACCCUUCUCUUGUCUGGGAUCUAACCCAUGGUAAUGGGGACACCGCGUGGUGGGUAGUUUGACUGGGGUGGUCGCCUCCAAAAGCGUAAC
RNAcentral lists this ribosomal RNA (2275 nucleotides) under human gut metagenome. Its description in RNAcentral is "bacterial LSU rRNA". It matches the Rfam family "Bacterial large subunit ribosomal RNA", at positions 1 to 2301 of the family's 2925-position model. The record is from RNAcentral.